Molecule: ribosomal RNA, 449 nt
Filed under: uncultured bacterium
Lineage: Bacteria
Description: bacterial SSU rRNA
Rfam family: Bacterial small subunit ribosomal RNA
Source: RNAcentral
GAUGAACGCUGGCGGCGUGCUUAACACAUGCAAGUCGAACGAAGCACUCUAUUUGAUUUUCUUCGGAAAUGAAGAUUUUGUGACUGAGUGGCGGACGGGUGAGUAACGCGUGGGUAACCUGCCUCAUACAGGGGGAUAACAGUUGGAAACGACUGCUAAUACCGCAUAAGCGCACAGGAUCACAUGAUCUGGUGUGAAAAACUCCGGUGGUAUGAGAUGGACCCGCGUCUGAUUAGCCAGUUGGCAGGGUAACGGCCUACCAAAGCGACGAUCAGUAGCCGACCUGAGAGGGUGACCGGCCACAUUGGGACUGAGACACGGCCCAAACUCCUACGGGAGGCAGCAGUGGGGAAUAUUGCACAAUGGGGGAAACCCUGAUGCAGCGACGCCGCGUGAGCGAAGAAGUAUUUCGGUAUGUAAAGCUCUAUCAGCAGGGAAGAAGAAUGACG